Molecule: long non-coding RNA, 1641 nt
Organism: Dromaius novaehollandiae (emu)
Lineage: Eukaryota; Metazoa; Chordata; Aves; Casuariiformes; Dromaiidae
Exons: 2
Source: RefSeq, a predicted model, not a curated record
UUACGCACUCAACCCCCCCUGCGGCUCCCGCUGACCCUCCAGCCAGCAGAGCCCCAAAUACAAAGCUAAUUAUUAAAAUAAUCCUCCUCUGUCCCAGCUUUGGUACGAGUUGGCCGGCAGAGGAACAGGAGCGGACGAGCGAGGGGAGGGAGGUGAAGCCCGCUGCGAUGGAGCAGGCUUUCUUCAAGUUUGCCUGUUUGCCGAGGGGACUUUGCAGCAAAGACGGUGCAGGGCAUUUGUCCGUGCCGGCGAGCGCAGUGUCCUGCUCCUGACGAAGACUGCAGCUUUAAACACGCAAUUUAAUCCUAUAAACAGCACCCAAACUGCACUCUGCAAGGGCAUCUCUCCAUCAGCUCCAGUCACGCUCGCAUCCCCCCGUGUCGGUCGCCAGACUGGCCUGCGCCAAUGGCUAUGGUCCCCGCCGGAGCCAGGCCUGCUGUUCCCCCUAUUCCAGCUCGUUUAGCUAUUCUGCCUAAUUAAAAUACAGGGUAGGCAGCAGCCGAUGCCUCUAGCAGUGCCGGGAGAGCCGUGCCCGGCAUCGGCUCCCGGACAAGCCCCCGGCCGUGCGCGUCAUGCUUGGAGCGAAGGCCGGAGGGAUGCAGGAGCGAGAAAGCAGCAGGGAAGGAGAGGGACCGUGGUCUGGAGACAGCACCGGGAAGUGUCAAGGUGUAGGAAGACGAUCCUGUUUUUUCCAUAACCUCCCAACCUUCAUUAAUAACGCUGCCGUGGAGCGUAUGUUCUGCGCUAAUUAAAACGAAUGGUACACGACAAAGCUGGGAAAGGAGGUGCCGUAAUUUCAUUAUUUUUCCACCUUCCUCUGCUUCGCCCUUGAGGAGCGGUGGCAGCGAGCGGGGCCCAGGCGUCCUGCUCAGGGCAGGGGAACCCGGCGGCUCUUCGGGCAGCGGAGAUGCUCCCUCGCCACCUUCCCCAUUGCAUUUCCCACUCGCGGGCUGCAAAACCUUGCGAGCGAUGUCAAAUCAAGGAUUUUGUUAAAGCGCCUCGGCUGCGCAGCCCGUUCCUCCCCCCGCUUCCCUGCACCUCUCUCCGCCGCCGUCCAACAGCAUUCCCAAAAGACUAAACACCUUUGGUUUCCAUGGCAGCCUGAUUUUCAAUGAGCAUCGUUCAAGUCCUAACCGGAAAGAAAGUGUUUCAUUAAUGCAUGCAGGACACACUGGCAUCUCCCCGGGGCGACAGCAUCCUUCCCCCGAAAACUAGCACCUUCUGCCCGCGCUUGCUUUUUUUUUCUUUAUUUCAGCAAAUUGAGGCGAGCCAGCAGCCUUCACUGCUGCCUGGAGCGGCGGGAGGGGGGUCGCCGAGCCGCCCGCCGCUGGAGCUCGCUUUUCGGAAAAUCUGCGUUUCCGAAAGCAGAGCUGAACUGCGCGGGAAGGCACCCACCGUCCGAGCAGCUCUGGAGAGACUGAGACGCCCUUCGCUGCCCCGUCCCUGCGCGGAGGGACUAGGACCAGGACCAGGACCAGGACGAGGACCAGGACCAGGACCAGGACGGGGUUAUCGGCUCGGCCGGCAGAAAGUGCCGGGAGCUGGGAACCGCGUGCACGGCCCCGGGGACAGCCAGGGCAGGGAAGCGCGUUGCUUGCAUCGAAGGAGUAAUGCAGGUGCCCAAAUAAACUAGCAACCGAG